GUCGAACGGCAGCACGGACUUCGGUCUGGUGGCGAGUGGCGAACGGGUGAGUAAUAUAUCGGAACGUGCCCAGUCGUGGGGGAUAACGUAGUGAAAAUUACGCUAAUACCGCAUACGAUCUAUGGAUGAAAGCGGGGGAUCGCAAGACCUCGCGCGAUUGGAGCGGCCGAUAUCAGAUUAGGUAGUUGGUGAGGUAAAGGCUCACCAAGCCAACGAUCUGUAGCUGGUCUGAGAGGACGACCGGCCACACUGGAACUGAGACACGGUCCAGACUCCUACGGGAGGCAGCAGUGGGGAAUUUUGGACAAUGGACGCAAGUCUGAUCCAGCCAUUCCGCGUGCAGGACGAAGGCCUUCGGGUUGUAAACUGCUUUUGUACAGAACGAAAAGGUUUCUAUUAAUACUAGGGGCUCAUGACGGUACUGUAAGAAUAAGCACCGGCUAACUACGUGCCAGCAGCCGCGGUAAUACGUAGGGUGCAAGCGUUAAUCGGAAUUACUGGGCGUAAAGCGUGCGCAGGCGGUUAUGUAAGACAGAGGUGAAAUCCCCGGGCUCAACCUGGGAACUGCCUUUGUGACUGCAUAGCUGGAGUACGGCAGAGGGGGAUGGAAUUCCGCGUGUAGCAGCGAAAUGCGUAGAUAUGCGGAGGAACACCGAUGGCGAAGGCAAUCCCCUGGGCCUGUACUGACGCCCAUGCACGAAAGCGUGGGGAGCAAACAGGAUUAGAUACCCUGGUAGUCCACGCCCUAAA
RNAcentral lists this ribosomal RNA (750 nucleotides) under uncultured bacterium. Its description in RNAcentral is "bacterial SSU rRNA". It matches the Rfam family "Bacterial small subunit ribosomal RNA", at positions 61 to 806 of the family's 1533-position model. The record is from RNAcentral.